This 422-nucleotide ribosomal RNA is filed under the name uncultured Mucilaginibacter sp. Its description in RNAcentral is "bacterial SSU rRNA". It matches the Rfam family "Bacterial small subunit ribosomal RNA", at positions 355 to 774 of the family's 1533-position model. Lineage: Bacteria; Pseudomonadati; Bacteroidota; Sphingobacteriia; Sphingobacteriales; Sphingobacteriaceae. The record is from RNAcentral.
UAAGGAAUAUUGGUCAAUGGGCGGAAGCCUGAACCAGCCAUGCCGCGUGCAGGAAGACGGCCCUACGGGUUGUAAACUGCUUUUGCAGGGGAAUAAACCUCGAUACGUGUAUCGAGCUGAAUGUACUCUGAGAAUAAGGAUCGGCUAACUCCGUGCCAGCAGCCGCGGUAAUACGGAGGAUCCAAGCGUUAUCCGGAUUUAUUGGGUUUAAAGGGUGCGUAGGUGGUUUUUUAAGUCAGGGGUGAAAGACGGCAGCUUAACUGUCGCAGUGCCUUUGAUACUGAAGAACUUGAAUUAACUAGAGGUAGGCGGAAUGUGACAAGUAGCGGUGAAAUGCAUAGAUAUGUCACAGAACACCAAUUGCGAAGGCAGCUUACUAUGGUUAUAUUGACACUGAGGCACGAAAGCGUGGGGAUCAAACA